Long non-coding RNA from Bombus terrestris (buff-tailed bumblebee), 546 nucleotides. RefSeq lists it as uncharacterized. The transcript is spliced from 2 exons. Lineage: Eukaryota; Metazoa; Arthropoda; Insecta; Hymenoptera; Apidae. The record is from RefSeq and is a predicted model, not a curated record.
UUAAGACGUCGGACCUUUGCAAAAAUCAAAAAUUCGUUACUCCAUAUACGAGCAUUUUGGCAAAGAGACCAAUGAAAUGAAGAGCGCAUUAAUCGAUCCGAUAUUCCUGAACUAUAAUUACUCGGGUAGUAAGGUUAAUUAGCCGCGGGUGUAGCAAGGUGCAUGUAUAUUUAAUAAGAUAAGAAUUGUGGCGCGCCGCUUGUUCCAGACGAUUGCUGAUGUCAUCUAUUCAAAUAUCUCCGUGUUACAAACAACUAAAUAUAUACUCUCAAAACAGUCAGAACAUUUUACCAAAAUCAUACUAAAUUUCUUCAAACCUUAUAAACUCCAGUAAUUUCUCUCUAUUUUAUCGCAAUUAAAAAAAAAAAAAAGAAGAAACAAAAGUACCCCAAAAGAAGAAGUCAAAGAGUCAAUAAUACUCAAUAACCAAAACAACAGAAAGAAAUCUUAAAAGACUCACCGUAGAUGUCAUCCAACUUCAAUCACCAAAUUCUUCUAAAGUAUGAUUUAUUUUAUUUUGAAAUAUUUUUCAGUCACUGUCAAAAA